AGGGUGCAGCGUAUCGGAAUUACUGGGCGUAAAGCGUGCGCAGGCGGUUUUGUUAAGUCUGUCGUGAAAGCCCCGAGCUCAACCUGGGAAUUGCGAUGGAGACUGCAAGGCUUGAAUCUGGCAGAGGGGGGUAGAAUUCCACGUGUAGCAGUGAAAUGCGUAGAGAUGUGGAGGAACACCGAUGGCGAAGGCAGCCCCCUGGGUCAAGAUUGACGCUCAUGCACGAAAGCGUGGGGAGCAAACAGGAUUAGAUACCCUGGUAGUCCACGCCCUAAACGAUGUCUACUAGUUGUCGGGUUUUAAUUAACUUGGUAACGCAGCUAACGCGUGAAGUAGACCGCCUGGGGAGUACGGUCGCAAGAUUAAAACUCAAAGGAAUUGACGGGGACCCGCACAAGCGGUGGAUGAUGUGGAUUAAUUCGAUGCAACGCGAAAAACCUUACCUACCCUUGACAUGUCAGGAAGGCUGGAGAGAUCUGGCUGUGCCCGAAAGGGAACCUGAACACAGGUGCUGCAUGGCUGUCGUCAGCUCGUGUCGUGAGAUGUUGGGUUAAGUCCCGCAACGAGCGCAACCCUUGUCAUUAGUUGCUACAUUCAGUUGAGCACUCUAAUGAGACUGCCGGUGACAAACCGGAGGAAGGUGGGGAUGACGUCAAGUCCUCAUGGCCCUUAUGGGUAGGGCUUCACACGUCAUACAAUGGUACAUACAGAGGGCCGCCAACCCGCGAGGGGGAGCUAAUCCCAGAAAGUGUAUCGUAGUCCGGAUCGCAGUCUGCAACUCGACUGCGUGAAGUCGGAAUCGCUAGUAAUCGCGGAUCAGAAUGCCGCGGUGAAUACGUUCCCGGGUCUUGUACACACCGCCCGUCACACCAUGGGAGCGGGUUCUGCCAGAA
RNAcentral lists this ribosomal RNA (893 nucleotides) under uncultured bacterium. Its description in RNAcentral is "bacterial SSU rRNA". It matches the Rfam family "Bacterial small subunit ribosomal RNA", at positions 529 to 1425 of the family's 1533-position model. The record is from RNAcentral.